CUCUUCGGAGCUAGUGGCGCACGGGUGCGUAACGCGUGGGAACCUGCCCUUAGGUUCGGAAUAACUCCCCGAAAGGGGUGCUAAUACCGGAUAAUGUCUUCGGACCAAAGAUUUAUCGCCUUUGGAUGGGCCCGCGUUGGAUUAGCUAGUUGGUGAGGUAAAUGCUCACCAAGGCGACGAUCCAUAGCUGGUCUUAGAGGAUGAUCAGCCACACUGGGACUGAGACACGGCCCAG
This 235-nucleotide ribosomal RNA is filed under the name uncultured Sphingomonadales bacterium. Its description in RNAcentral is "partial 16S ribosomal RNA". It matches the Rfam family "Bacterial small subunit ribosomal RNA", at positions 76 to 334 of the family's 1533-position model. Lineage: Bacteria; Pseudomonadati; Pseudomonadota; Alphaproteobacteria; Sphingomonadales. The record is from RNAcentral.